AGCGAACGCUGGCGGCGUGCUUAACACAUGCAAGUCGAACGUGAAAUGUAGCAAUACAGAGUAAAGUGGCGUACGGGUGAGUAACACGUGGGUAAUCUACCAAAGAGCCUGGAAUAACCGACCGAAAGGUUGGCUAAUACUGGAUAGUUCAAAUGAAAUAUAAUGUUUCGAUUGGGAAAGGGAGCGAGCAAUCGCCUUCACUUUUUGAUGAGCCCGCGUCUGAUUAGCUAGUUGGUAGGGUAAUGGCCUACCAAGGCGACGAUCAGUAGCUGGUCUGAGAGGAUGAUCAGCCAAACUGGAACUGAAACACGGUCCAGACUCCUACGGGAGGCAGCAGUGGGGAAUCUUGCGCAAUGGACGAAAGUCUGACGCAGCCACGCCGCGUGAGUGAAGAAGGCCUUCGGGUUGUAAAGCUCUGUCGGAAGGGACAAAAACGUUUAAGGUUAAUAGCCUUAGAUCUUGAUGGUACCUUCAAAGGAAGCACCGGCUAACUUCGUGCCAGCAGCCGCCGUAA
RNAcentral lists this ribosomal RNA (514 nucleotides) under uncultured bacterium. RNAcentral describes it as "partial 16S ribosomal RNA". It matches the Rfam family "Bacterial small subunit ribosomal RNA", at positions 29 to 523 of the family's 1533-position model. The record is from RNAcentral.